CGCGUAGGCGGUGAUCUAAGUCAGGCGUGAAAGCCCUGGGCUCAACCCGGGAAUUGCGCUUGAUACUGAAUCGCUUGAAUCCAGGAGAGGUUGGUGGAAUUCCCAGUGUAGAGGUGAAAUUCGUAGAGAUUGGGAAGAACACCGGUGGCGAAGGCGGCCAACUGGACUGGUAUUGACGCUGAGGCGCGAAAGCGUGGGGAGCAAACAGGAUUAGAUACCCUGGUAGUCCACGCCGUAAACUAUGUGUGCUAGCCGUUGGGGCUCUUAGAGCCUCGGUGGCGUCGCUAACGCUUUAAGCACACCGCCUGGGGAGUACGGUCGCAAGAUUAAA
This 331-nucleotide ribosomal RNA is filed under the name uncultured bacterium. Its description in RNAcentral is "bacterial SSU rRNA". It matches the Rfam family "Bacterial small subunit ribosomal RNA", at positions 568 to 898 of the family's 1533-position model. The record is from RNAcentral.